UUACUUGGGCUGAGCAUUGUGUUCGUCGUCGAGGCAUCGUGGUGUUCUGGCGUGUUCUCCCUGGGAAAUUAAACUAUAGAUUCGUUCAUGCGGCUUAGAAUCCUGGCGAGAAAUCUUUCUGAUUCGUUUGUCUCCUAUAUCUUAUUCUCGAAAUUUUAAUUUUGCUUUCUUCCUUCUUCCAUCUACUGCUGUUUACUACUUUCAUAUUUGUUUGGUCUCUUUAAAAGUGUGUGUUAUUUACUUGUAUAAUUUUACCUACCUCAACCGCAUGUCUUUCCUGCCUUGGCUUUCCCUUGGAACCCCACCCUCCCUCGCGCGCUUCUCUUAGAGAUUGGGAGACCAUUAAAUCCAACGAUUCCUUGCUUGGACUCAUGUGCAGACAGUUGGAAUGGCAGUGGCGAGGGAUGCGAAGGAAGGAGAGGAAUCCGAUGGUCUGAGAGGCGUUCUACUUUUUCGAGGAAUAGAUCCUCCAAGACACAAAAAGCGCCAUAGAAGAAAACGGAGGCGAUGCCAAAGUUGUUCUGAUUUAGGGUUUAUCUUCUCGCACAAUCCAAAGUUGCGCUCACCACCACUGGUUUAAAUUCUACACCUUCUCGAAAAGCCCUUGAAGCAUUGGCGACGUCUUCGUCGUGGUCUCUCUUGCUCACACUAGAGUCACUCUUUGUUCUCUAUCGCUCGUACCGCGUUGUGUGUCAAAAGGGAUUGGAUUUGGUCGUUGACUUCUGAACGCGGUGAGAAAUCGAAGGUUGGAGUGAGUUUUGAUUAAUGUCGGUUUUUGUUUGUUGUUAUAUUGACCCAACUUUGCUCUUUGUUCUUUAAAGUUUAAAAUUUGCAAUUUCAGAAACCCUAGGUUGGUUUGUUCGAAUCAGUUCGAGGUCCAAUCGCCCUCUGCACCAGUGCCCCUUUGGACUCGUGACAUUGAGGAGGAGAUAGUUCCUCUCUGCAGGUAAGUUCAACUUCUUCUCCAGUUCUGGAAUUUACACACCAGCUAAUUACAUGAAAAGUGAUAAAAAAAAUGUAUUUGAUACAGAGAGCUUUAUUUAUUUGUGUUCCUCUAAAAAUCAGGUUUUGUGCUUCGCCCUGGAUAACAACUCUUUAAAUAUUUUGACAAUAGAUCUUUGCAUCCAGAAGUGGUUUGGCCUGAUCAAAGCACAACUUGUUGAAAGUAGUGCAGAAGAUUGUUGAGAAGGUGAAGAAGCCAAGGAUUUGAGUAGAGAAAGUGAAAUAUUGGAGGAAAGGGAGGUUGCUAAAAAGCUUGCCAAGAUAAAA
Molecule: long non-coding RNA, 1269 nt
Organism: Vigna angularis (adzuki bean)
Lineage: Eukaryota; Viridiplantae; Streptophyta; Magnoliopsida; Fabales; Fabaceae
Exons: 4
Source: RefSeq, a predicted model, not a curated record